RNAcentral lists this ribosomal RNA (460 nucleotides) under uncultured bacterium. RNAcentral describes it as "partial 16S ribosomal RNA". It matches the Rfam family "Bacterial small subunit ribosomal RNA", at positions 338 to 795 of the family's 1533-position model. The record is from RNAcentral.
CCUACGGGAGGCAGCAGUGAGGAAUAUUGGUCAAUGGGCGUAAGCCUGAACCAGCCAAGUCGCGUGAGGGAUGAAGGUUCUAUGGAUCGUAAACCUCUUUUAUAAGGGAAUAAAGUGUGGGACGUGUCCUGUUUUGUAUGUACCUUAUGAAUAAGGAUCGGCUAACUCCGUGCCAGCAGCCGCGGUAAUACGGAGGAUCCGAGCGUUAUCCGGAUUUAUUGGGUUUAAAGGGUUCGUAGGCGGCCUUUUAAGUCAGCGGUGAAAGUCUGUGGCUCAACCAUAGAAUUGCCGUUGAAACUGGGAGGCUUGAGUAUGUUUGAGGCAGGCGGAAUGCGUGGUGUAGCGGUGAAAUGCUUAGAUAUCACGCAGAACCCCGAUUGUGAAGGCAGCCUGCCAAGCCAUGACUGACGCUGAUGCACGAAAGCGUGGGGAUCAAACAGGAUUAGAUACCCGGGUAGUC